This is a long non-coding RNA of Oncorhynchus gorbuscha (pink salmon), 921 nucleotides long. RefSeq lists it as uncharacterized. NCBI's taxonomy places the organism in Eukaryota, Metazoa, Chordata, Actinopteri, Salmoniformes, Salmonidae. The record is from RefSeq and is a predicted model, not a curated record. The transcript is spliced from 3 exons.
AUAACUAAACAAAUUACUGGUGAAUUCGAUUGGAUACGGUAGACUCCUCCUACUUUUUAUUUACACAUGUUGGCGUGGUGUCAUUGCACAAUGGAACAACUGAAGAAAGAAGUUAAAUGUAAUCCAUCAGCAACAGCCAAUUUCUUUUCACGAAUGUUUUUCUGUGGUCUCCAUAUAGGCUAUUCCCUCCAUCGCCACACUUCCGCCCGGUUGAAGCUCUCGUGAUCUCCAUGCCUCUUCGGGAAGAGCACCCCUCAGCCUCAGAAGAUGACCUUCUGGAGGUAUCUGGCUCCAUAGGUGUGUUCCACAAUGAGUGCAAGAGGAGUGGGACUCACCUUCCACUGAGUUGCAUUAUUUUCCAGAGAACAAAUAGAGCCCCGAGUUGAAUGCUCUGCACCAGAGUUUACUCAGGCAAAAAGCAAGUUUAGAAUGUAAAUGAAGGUAUCACAGCGUCUGUACUGUAUAUAUGUUUAUAUUAAUAAUAUGUUGUCGCUUGGUGUCUUUCCUAUAUAACUUAUUUAGUUUAUAUAUUUAAUAUCUUAUGGUGUUCUUGUCUAUUACUGUUCUGUACUUUGUCAUGUAUUUGUACAUUUUAUGUGGAUCCCAGGAAGAGUAGCUGUGGCAUGUGCAGUAGCUAAACUUCUAUACCAUUGCUAUAAUUUAACACAUUUGCCGCUAGAAAUAUGUUCUGUUGCAGGUAGAAAUGUGUUCAACAUCCACUUAAGUAGAUAGCUAUAGUAGUUGCCUUGGUAACCAAACAAACAGACCUGCUAGUUCAGUUAACCCAAACCAUCAUAUAUACAAAAGUAUGUGGACACCCCUUCAAAUGAGUGGAUUUGGCUAUUUCAGCCACACCCGUUGCUGACAGGUAUAUAAAAUCAAGCACACAGCCAUGCUGUCUCCAUAGACAAACAUUGGAGA